CAGUAGCCGCGGUAAUACGUAGGUGGCAAGCGUUGUCCGGAAUUAUUGGGCGUAAAGGGCUCGCAGGCGGUUUCUUAAGUCUGAUGUGAAAGCCCCCGGCUCAACCGGGGAGGGUCAUUGGAAACUGGGAAACUUGAGUGCAGAAGAGGAGAGUGGGAUUCCACGUGUAGCGGUGAAAUGCGUAGAGAUGUGGAGGAACACCAGUGGCGAAGGCGACUCUCUGGUCUGUAACUGACGCUGAGGAGCAAAAGCGUGGGGAGCGAACAGGAUUAGAUACCCCCGUAGUCCCUGUCUCUUAUAC
RNAcentral lists this ribosomal RNA (301 nucleotides) under uncultured bacterium. RNAcentral's name for it is "partial 16S ribosomal RNA". It matches the Rfam family "Bacterial small subunit ribosomal RNA", at positions 509 to 807 of the family's 1533-position model. The record is from RNAcentral.